This is a long non-coding RNA of Bubalus bubalis (water buffalo), 1375 nucleotides long. RefSeq lists it as uncharacterized. Lineage: Eukaryota; Metazoa; Chordata; Mammalia; Artiodactyla; Bovidae. The transcript is spliced from 9 exons. The record is from RefSeq and is a predicted model, not a curated record.
ACGUGAGUCUGAGUGAACUCCGGGAGUUGGUGAUGGACAGACAGGGAGGCCUGGCGUGCUGCUAUUCAUGGGGUCGCAAAGAGUCGGACACGACUGAGUGACUGAUCUGAUCUGAUCUGGGCAGGCAGUGGGGAGAGUUCUCGCGGUACUAGCAGAGUUCUCGCCGGGCCAGCAGAGUUCUCGCAGGGCUAGCAGAGUUCUCGUGAGGUGACGGAGCUCUCGAGAGACAGGCACAGCUGUGCAGUUGGGUCCAGGUCUCAGCAGAGGGCAGGUCACCAACAUCUUGAAUUGAGCCAUAGAGAGUAAAGCAUGUCUGCCUUGCUGCUGUGAAUAAAGAAUAUCUGCAGUUUCUACGUCUCCUCACAUCUUCUUCCAGCUUCCACACUCUCGCCUUGCCUAUCCUGGGUUCUGCCAACAGUGAGAUACAGCAAGACGGGCCAGUUUCAUUGAAGGUCAGUGUUUCCUUCUGCAUGGUCUGAAAUACCUACCGUGGCUGUUUUGAUGAACAAGGUAUAAGUCACUCUUUGGAGCCACAAGAGAAGAACUACUUCUAGAAGUUACAAAUAUCUCACACACAGUUAGGUCAACCUCAUCUGGUGAGUUGAAGGCCUUAAUAGAACAAAGACUGACCUCCCUCACCAAGAAGGAAUUCUGCCAAAACACUGCCUUUGGACUCAGAUUGCAGCUUUUUCCUGGCCUCCAGCCUGCCAGAUUAAAGAUAUGGGACUUACCAAAGACCAAAAGCCUCCACAAUCAUAACAAUUUACAGAGAUUCAAGAGUUGGUGACAUGAUGAUGACAUGGAAAAUGGAAGAUUUUCCCCACUGCUAUUUGUUUUAAAGAAAAAUGACAGAGGUCAAGUCCUGGGUUGAUGUACUGCUCUGACAAGAUCCACUGUGACACUGGGAACACCCUAACAUGAACUGUUUUCUCAGGAAACAGGCCAACUGCUUUGAUCUCAAGUGGACAAAUCAGAAAGGCAGUUUUUCACCAGUUCAAUGGGAAGAUGACCUCUGCUCCUACUGCAAGAGAAGGGUACCGACAGACUGAGUGUAUGGGAGUUCUGAGUUUUGGGACACCUGGAUUUGACUGUUGAUCUUCAAAUAUCCACUGCUUCAAAAUCAGUCUAGGAAUCAUGUUUACAUCCCAAGCACCAGACUGCCUUUCAGCAUGAUGAUGCCCUUAAACUCAGUUCCUUACAGGUGGGUUUCCUGAGAGCACUCCUCAGUAAGCUUUCCAGCUGCGUCUGCAUUGUAGUAUCUGUGUCGAACAAACCCAAGCUAAGACGGGACUUGAAAGUGAUUUUGAGAGACAGGCUUUCCUGAUGGCCCAGCAGUAAAAUAUCUGCCUGCAAUGCAGGAGAUGCACGAGACACA